AGGUGUUAUUUUAGUAUUUCUCCAGUAGGUUUCCUCAGGGAGAAAGCCCCC
Molecule: small nuclear RNA, 51 nt
Organism: Oncorhynchus mykiss (rainbow trout)
Lineage: Eukaryota; Metazoa; Chordata; Actinopteri; Salmoniformes; Salmonidae
Gene: U7
Rfam family: U7 small nuclear RNA
About the family: Animal histone pre-mRNAs are spliced by a different mechanism than nuclear pre-mRNAs and self-splicing introns. This processing involves the U7 snRNP, which contains only one RNA species: U7.
Source: Ensembl